CAGGUAUUCUCAAGUCGGGCCGGGUUCAACUUGUCUAUUCUUCCUUGUUGGAGUGGGAAAGGGGGUGUGUAGCGUUGGGUGGUGAUGGAUGGGGUAGGAGCGUCGGAAACAUCGGAGUGAGAGUGGAUGUUCGGUGGGGGUGGUUACCGCAGGGGUGCUUCGGUGGGGGAGGGCUGGGGUGGUACGAAGGGGUGCCGGGGUGAGCAGACUGAGACUGGGGCUGGAGUGGAGAGGGGUGGGGCGGCAGAGCCAGAGUGGAGCGGCGCGGCUCUGGGUUAGGGGAUUUGGGCCGGGGUUUGGGAUCGCGGCGGCGGUACGACGCGGCUGAGCGGAGGCGGCGGCGGGGCGCCCGGAAGAAGAGCUGGAGGGGCCGACGCCCGGUGCGGGGCGCGGCGCUCAUGCCCGACCAGGGGUACCACUAGCUCGUGUGGAGGGCGCCCCUCGCGCGGAUGCUGUAGAAGAGCGCAGAGGAGUUCCUCGCGUAGCAGACGUAGGUGCCCGGGUAGCGGCUGCUGUGCCGGAGCGAGCAGCAGCGCGUCGACGAGAAGGAGCUCAGGCUCUUGGGGCGGUUCGGCUAGGUGGAGAUGUAGUUGAGGGGGCCGCCCCAGCAGUGGCGCCCGGAGCGCUAGAUGCUGUGCUACGUCAUGUAGGCGAGGGGCCAGUGGUGCGAGACGUAGCCGGUCCGGCGGAGGUACCCGAGCGACGACGAGCGGCGCCCGCGCGGGCCGCUCGCCGCGCGCGACGGGUUGCGGGCCCAAUACUAGGUGGUCGGCAGCCCGCCACGGAGGCCCGUCCGGAGGCUGUAACGCUAGGUCCGGUUCCUCUAGGAGUUCCACGCGCUGGCGGAGUUGUUCUAGAUGCGGUUCGUGUGACCGGUCCGGUAGCUGGCGUAGCUCGUCACAUACCUCUCCCUGUACAAAUACCUGGGUCACCUCCGCGUUCGGACCCCCGAGUAGCUACUCCAGUAGCUCGUGGCGGGUUAAAGUGAGCAAAGACUACGGCACUCGUCACUAGGCGGCUUCUUGCCGCCUCCUCCCCUUUUGUUCCGUUGCCUCCUCGGCAGAGGUCGAACUACCCACCAACGUUCCACGUUAGGAAAAACGCAAAGACAUCGACAGAGCAACCUAAAGUUGUAAGUUACGAAUUAAGAAUGUAUUCCAAUGUUGAACAAUAAGACGCCGUCUGCCAAAUAGUGAUCGAUUCGACUACAAAACGAUGAACUUAAUUAGACGACGAAUAUUACCUACGUUAGGAACGAACGAAUGAAUCGGUAGUAUCGACUAGAAUACAAACAGACUUUAGUUUCCAUCAUCGGGUUGUAUUUCCUAUUUGCGCCGUACAAAUGGUGUCGUCCGUGUAAAAAGAAACCGGAUAGCCUCGUUCAACCCUUACCAUAUUUUGUUUAAAGAUUAACGACUAAGAACAUAGAACACAAACUAUUAAAAUCAACGCGGAACAACUACAUACACCAAAGUAAAUUACUCAACUACGGUGUUAAAAUUGACACGGAGGAACUAAUAAACUAAAGUAAGGUUCUCAGUAGGUAACAAACCUUAAAGUAUGUUAGUUGCAACAGGUGAAACAGAAAGCAUUUCUUUGUCACAAAAUAACAAAUUAAGUUAUGAUUAUGUAUAGUGACUACUGGUCAUUGCUAGAAAG
Molecule: ribosomal RNA, 1659 nt
Filed under: Triticum aestivum (bread wheat)
Lineage: Eukaryota; Viridiplantae; Streptophyta; Magnoliopsida; Poales; Poaceae
Description: partial small subunit ribosomal RNA
Source: RNAcentral